UCCCUUACGAAUUUGAAUAUAUCCUAAUAAUUUUCGCUCUAAUAAAGUUAAAAAAGCUACUCUAAUUAAAACACAUAAAAUCAUUAAAAUAAAAACUAAAUUAACUAAAAUUAAUUCUAUUAUUAUUUGUAUAUUUAUACUUAAAAAGAUUCUAAAUCUAACGCACUAAUCUGCCAAAAUAAUAAUUUUAUUCAAAUAUAAAAUUUUAAAUCUUAAAUUUGGUCCUUUCGUACUAAAAUUUAAUUUUUUAAUAAAGAUAGAAACCAACCUGGCUCACACCGGUUUAAACUCAGAUCAUGUAAAGUUUAAAUGGUCGAACAGACCAAAUAACUAAGCUUCUACACCUAAUUUUAACUUUAAUCCAACAUCGAGGUCGCAAUCUCUUUUUUCGAUAAGAACUCUAAAAAAAAUUACGCUGUUAUCCCUAAGGUAAUUUAUUCUUUUAAUCAUUUUUAUGGAUCAAAUAUUCAUAAAUUAAUGUAAUUUAAUAAAAAAAGUUAAUCUUAUUUUUCCAUCACCCCAAUGAAAUUUACUCCAAAAACUAAAUUAUUAAAAUUCUAAAAACUAAAUUUAUGUUGUAAAUUAAACUCUAUAGGGUCUUCUCGUCUUUUAUCAAAAUUUAAGCUUUUUAACUUAAAAAUAAAAUUUUUAUACAAUUAUUUAUAGAAAGCUAUCUUCUCAUCAAACCAUUCAUACAAGCUUUCAAUUAAAAAACUAAUGAUUAUGCUACCUUUGCACAGUCAAAAUACUGCGGCCCUUCAAAAAUUCAGUGGGCAGGCCCUACUUUAAAUUAAAUUCUAAAAGAGAUGUUUUUGUUAAACAGGCG
RNAcentral lists this ribosomal RNA (826 nucleotides) under Harmonia quadripunctata (cream-streaked ladybird beetle). RNAcentral describes it as "partial 16S ribosomal RNA". The record is from RNAcentral. Lineage: Eukaryota; Metazoa; Arthropoda; Insecta; Coleoptera; Coccinellidae.